UGGAGGAAAGCAGGGGAUCGCAAGACCUUGCGCUUUUGGAGCGGCCGAUGUCUGAUUAGCUAGUUGGUAGGGUAAAGGCUUACCAAGGCAACGAUCAGUAGUUGGUUUGAGAGGACGACCAGCCACACUGGGACUGAGACACGGCCCAGACUCCUACGGGAGGCAGCAGUGGGGAAUUUUGGACAAUGGGCGAAAGCCUGAUCCAGCCGUGCCGCGUGAGUGAAGAAGGCCUUCGGGUUGUAAAGCUCUUUCAGUCGAGAAGAGAAGGUUGCGACUAAUAAUCGCAACUUAUGACGGUAUCGACAGAAGAAGCACCGGCUAACUACGUGUCAGCAGCCGCGGUAAUACGUAGGGUGCGAGCGUUAAUCGGAAUUACUGGGCGUAAAGGGUGCGCAGGCGGCUCUGUAAGUCAGAUGUGA
RNAcentral lists this ribosomal RNA (419 nucleotides) under uncultured ammonia-oxidizing beta proteobacterium. RNAcentral describes it as "bacterial SSU rRNA". It matches the Rfam family "Bacterial small subunit ribosomal RNA", at positions 197 to 597 of the family's 1533-position model. Lineage: Bacteria; Pseudomonadati; Pseudomonadota; Betaproteobacteria. The record is from RNAcentral.